CUAGCGAGACUGCCGGUAAUAAACCGGAGGAAGGUGGGGAGUGACGUCAAAUCAUCAUGCCCCUUAUGACCUGGGCUACACACGUGCUACAAUGGUUGGUACAACGAGUUGCGAGUCGGUGACGGCGAGCUAAUCUCUUAAAGCCAAUCUCAGUUCGGAUUGUAGGCUGCAACUCGCCUACAUGAAGUCGGAAUCGCUAGUAAUCGCGGAUCAGCACGCCGCGGUGAAUACGUUCCCGGGCCUU
RNAcentral lists this ribosomal RNA (244 nucleotides) under uncultured Streptococcus sp. RNAcentral describes it as "partial 16S ribosomal RNA". It matches the Rfam family "Bacterial small subunit ribosomal RNA", at positions 1140 to 1382 of the family's 1533-position model. The record is from RNAcentral. Lineage: Bacteria; Bacillati; Bacillota; Bacilli; Lactobacillales; Streptococcaceae.